GAUGAACGCUGGCGGUCUGCUUAACACAUGCAAGUCGACGGACCCUUCGGGGUUAGUGGCGGACGGGUGAGUAACGCGUGAGAAUCUGCCUUCAGGUCUGGGACAACAGAAGGAACUUCUGCUAAUCCGGGAUGAAGCCUUUUGGUAAAGAGAGAUUGCCUGGAGAUGAGCUCGCGUCUGAUUAGCUAGUUGGUGAGGUAAAAGCUUACCAAGGCGACGAUCAGUAGCCUGGUCUGAGAGGAUGAGCAGCCACACUGGGACUGAG
Molecule: ribosomal RNA, 265 nt
Filed under: uncultured cyanobacterium
Lineage: Bacteria; Bacillati; Cyanobacteriota
Description: partial 16S ribosomal RNA
Rfam family: Bacterial small subunit ribosomal RNA
Source: RNAcentral